This 222-nucleotide ribosomal RNA is filed under the name uncultured bacterium. Its description in RNAcentral is "partial 16S ribosomal RNA". It matches the Rfam family "Bacterial small subunit ribosomal RNA", at positions 109 to 334 of the family's 1533-position model. The record is from RNAcentral.
AGUAAUGUAUGGGGAUCUGCCCGAUAGAGGGGGGUAACUACUGGAAACGGUGGCUAAUACCGCAUAAUGUCUACGGACCAAAGCAGGGGCUCUUCGGACCUUGCACUAUCGGAUGAACCCAUAUGGGAUUAGCUAGUAGGUGGGGUAAAGGCUCACCUAGGCGACGAUCUCUAGCUGGUCUGAGAGGAUGAUCAGCCACACUGGGACUGAGACACGGCCCAA